RNAcentral lists this long non-coding RNA (254 nucleotides) under Elaeis guineensis (African oil palm). RNAcentral's name for it is "long non-coding RNA (EGUI_LNC026530)". The record is from RNAcentral. Lineage: Eukaryota; Viridiplantae; Streptophyta; Magnoliopsida; Arecales; Arecaceae.
GUGGAAGCCGCGGCCUUCCAUUAUUGUGUUUGUCGAAAAUUGAAGGUCGGAGAUGCCACCGAAGCUCAGAAAAGGCUUCAAUUUUUUUUCUCACUCUUUCCUUUCUCCCCAUGACUUUAGACCCUCAUCGACCGUCGAGAUCGCCAAAAAUUUCAUGAAUCAUGAAAUCUCUAUUCGGUCGGAAUUUUUUCCUCUCUUUUCUGACCACCGACGCCAUCGGUUGCGGCAUCUCAUCCCCGAGAUCAGACCCCUAU